Molecule: long non-coding RNA, 2904 nt
Organism: Triticum dicoccoides
Lineage: Eukaryota; Viridiplantae; Streptophyta; Magnoliopsida; Poales; Poaceae
Exons: 2
Source: RefSeq, a predicted model, not a curated record
CAAGAUUCCCGUUCCGCAACUAAACCACACCUGCCAAGGCGCUGUACGGCGGCGGCGGCGUGCUCCACCGCAGUCCGCCCCAAUCCGGCGGGGUCCGUCCGCCUGCUCCGGCCACCUCCUCCUCAACCACCCGGACCUCCUCCCGCCGGCAUCCCCCGUGGGAACGGCCUCCUCCGCCGCCUGCCUACAACGCCGAUGCCUUUCUCCAGGCGCACGUAGAUGGGUGGGCCGGAGCAGCCCCAGCCACGGCCGACGGUCUCGGCGGACUCCCUUCCCUCCCUGCCCCGCGGCCAGGAAGCCGCCGACGUCAUCCGGUCUAUCAUUCCCCUUCUUCCAAUUCCGUCCAAUUGGAUCCCUGCGGUCAUACUCAGGUUGCUCAACUUUAAUUUGUUACAUCGUUCUACUUCUUUUGUUCAUCAGGAUAUCUAUCAGGACACGGCAUCAUCCUUAUCACAAGAUAUAUCCCCGGCCGGCCGGCCGGCGGCAGUAUGGUGACGCAAAUAAGCUCCCUGCCUCGUCAAACAAGCAAGGGUGUGUGUGUUAGACUUAUGGCACAACUGAACAGUAUGUCGAGAUGUCGGAUAAAACUCGGACUUGACCGAAGGGCACUGAGAUGCUUAGAACCUCCACAUUCCGAACGAACAAGAAUGGCUUGUAGAUUCCAUUAGCAGUCCUCCUGCAGAUGAUCUCAAAGUCUCUAAUAGCACAGCCAGUACCAAUACCAAUACCAAACGGAUAAGGGAUGUCGACAUCACCACACUGUGUUUUGCAUCCGGGGCCAGACUGCGCUGAUGUAGAGGCUAAGUGCAACAUGACUGCAACAACUAGCAGUGGCAGGAAAGCCAUGUUACUUGUCUGAAACUGGACUUGCCCAGAAGAUUCUGCUGCACAGCACUACAGGAAAAGAGGGAAAAAAUAGUGAGCAAACUAAUGGCCAUUCAAUUCAACUCUAAAAGUUGUAGGCGACACUUCCUGUGUACUCUUCAUUUCUAUGUUGUCGAAAUAUACCUGAAAAUUUUAGCAUGGCUGAAGAAUUUUAAUAAUGCUUUGUAAAUAUCAAGCUGCUAUAAUCUUAUAGAUGAAAUGCUGUGAAAAUUUUUGUUGAGCUUGCAAUCUUAAUAUAUAAAUGACAGAAAAAUAUAUUAAUACUAGAAGGCCUUUUCAUCUUUUGUUUGACUGUCUGCAUGUCUAGAUUCGAAUUAUGCAAUAAAUUGUUUCUCGCCUUUGGAUUUCUGGCACUGAAUUCACGUGCAUGCCUUGUGCAAAUAUGAAGACCGUGUUUUCUGAGUUGUAAGUUUUUGGUUGUUUGCAAAGUUAAACAGUCUAAUUUUUACUUCUUAGAUACAGAUAAUCCUUGGCCGGAAGAUUUUGCUGCUGUCCAGGCUGAGAACUAACAUUGAGAAGAGUGUGGCCUAUCCUAAUUCCUGUGUUGGUAUAGAUUUAUCUCGUAUGCUGUGUGAUUUUGGUGGAGUGCAAGCUUAUUGGCCAAGGGUAUCUGGGUUUGCCUGUAGGGUUCAAAAAGCCAAGCUACAGCCGGUUGUGCUUGACUAGGCUACCGGCAAACUCUCGCCAUGGAAAGAGCGACGUCUCAACAGGACUGGCCGGAAGACUGGUGCUUAUUAACUGGGCGGUGACUGCAACUUGCUGCUACCUAUUUCCUGACCACCUUGUGAAGAAGCGAGUGUGCGCGCCAAAGAUGUUCAGUCGAGCCCUUGGGCUGUGGUGGGAAUGGUUCAGGUGGGAUGAUGAGAAGAGACCAUGGAAGGGCACAGAGACUCCGUGUGACGAGAUUAAUAGGCAGCUCUUUUCCUGCCGCACCCCCAUCUCCCUUGGGGAUGGCAGCUUGGCCAUUCUCAGGAAGGGCCGCUAGUUGGAAGGGGAUGCUCCAUGUUUUUUGGUGCCCCGGAAAUCUUCAGGCUGGCACGGUACAGAAGUUGCCGGUUAAGGAUGCGAGGGUUGCAGCGGAUCAGUACUAAGGUGCAGCUGAACCAAUUCAUGCUAAUUUGAGUGGCGUGCCGCACAAUGGCGUUUGCCGCCUGUGUGAUCAGGAGCAAGACAGCGCUGCCCAUCUGACCCGGCGUUGCUGUUACGCGCGGCAUUGAUUUCAGAAUUCCAACGCUAGAGUGUGCUCAAUUGUUUCUUGGCAUUGACAAUGGAGGUAUGGCGGAGGAGGAUUUAUUAGUCGGGCGGCGGCUCGCCGAGGCGAGAAGAAGAAAAACUGUAAUCCAAUUCGGAGUAGUAAUUUCGAACAAAAAGUACCUGUGUAUGUAGCUGGGAUAUGGAGGGAGGCACGACGAUCCAGUUCCUGGCCAACUGAAGUGGAGCGCGGUGUGCAACAGCUCUGCUCAUGAACAUGAACUCAUCCUCAAGCAAUGGCCGUGGUCUGCACCCGUCCGUAACUCUUUUUCCCCUUCCAUCCAAAGAAAAAGGAGUAGGGCCAUUUUUGUACUGUCUUUUUCAGAACGGAGACUUGGCCAAACUCCAUUCGCUAGCUUGUUUUGCUGGCCGGGCGGCCAGAUGGCAAAAGCUCCCCUGGCUUAUGUCCAUGGAAGCAGAUAAACCAGGCAGCACGAUCCAGGUUCCAUUUGACUGAAUCAACAAAUUUAGUAUCUGGCCUUGCCGGCGAAUUGGUGGUAGCAUACACUGUCUAUGGAAAUCAGGACUUGUAUAAUGGCUGGGGUGUGGUGCGCAGUGUGCUCAUCUGCCGUCGACGACAAAUUGUAAAAUGUAGAGGUAGCCACCACUCCAAACACAUAUACUACUUACACAUCAUAAACAAGGGACUCCGAACAAAUAGGAUUGAUCCAUUCAUGAUUCUACAAUAUUGUAAUUAAAGUCCUAUUUCUGAAUAUUUAGAAAAGGACAAUGUAAGAAAAAUCACAUUGCAAGUGACCUUCUUUCCAA